GUACCCCAAACCGACACAGGUGGUCGGGUAGAGAAUACCAAGGCGCUUGAGAGAACUCGGGUGAAGGAACUAGGCAAAAUGGUACCGUAACUUCGGGAGAAGGUACGCUCUUGAUGGUGAAGUCCCUUGCGGAUGGAGCUGACGAGAGUCGCAGAUACCAGGUGGCUGCAACUGUUUAUUAAAAACACAGCACUGUGCAAAAUCGCAAGAUGACGUAUACGGUGUGACGCCUGCCCGGUGCCGGAAGGUUAAUUG
This 255-nucleotide ribosomal RNA is filed under the name Vibrio cholerae. Its description in RNAcentral is "partial 23S ribosomal RNA". It matches the Rfam family "Bacterial large subunit ribosomal RNA", at positions 1644 to 1883 of the family's 2925-position model. Lineage: Bacteria; Pseudomonadati; Pseudomonadota; Gammaproteobacteria; Vibrionales; Vibrionaceae. The record is from RNAcentral. RNAcentral also lists the same sequence under 1 other name.